Molecule: long non-coding RNA, 1555 nt
Organism: Monodelphis domestica (gray short-tailed opossum)
Lineage: Eukaryota; Metazoa; Chordata; Mammalia; Didelphimorphia; Didelphidae
Source: Ensembl
AUGUUGGCUGCCCCAGAGCCGGGGGCAGUUGGAGAGGCCAGGACCAGGCCAGGGGCCCCUUGGGACCUUGUCUCCCCCACGCCUACCUCAGAUGAGUGCCCCGAGGUGAGGCCAGGGAGAGGCCCAUGGCUCCCCGGGCACCUCGGGGCCCCACCUUUGUCCUUGGCCCCAUUCUACCCCUGGUCCUUAUCUCCCUCCAGCCCUCUGCUCUCCCCUUCCUUCACCCCACAAUCCACUUCUGCUCUUUCCUGCUGGGCUUCCAGUCACCAUCUCACUCAUCUCUGCCCCUCUGCCCCUCCCUGCCUCCUUAUACCAGUCAUACCCCCAGGAGGCAGUGAGGGCUCUGGACUUGGAAUCCAAGCAUGGCUCUGUUUUGCCUGGGCCCCCCACACACACUUCCCAGCUGUAGAACCCGGGACAAAUCCCAGGACAUCUGGCAGCCUCAGUUUCCUCCUCUGGAAAAUGAAGGGCUUAAACUCACUGAGCCCAGACAUCUUUUCCUACUGUAUUGGCUCCAAUGAUCCACUUACAAUGGCGGCUCCUUGCCUAGCUUGAGCUGCCCUGGGGGCAGUGGGAAAGUCUGGUCUGGCCCAGAGUAAGGAAAGAGAGUUUUACAUGCCAUUCCCAAGGAAGGGGACACUUGAAGCCUGGGAGAAAGCGGAGUUCUCUGGGGGCGAAAUGAGGCAGAAAGAGAGGAGAGCAAAGGCUCAGUGGACAGUCUGGGAGGACCUCUAUUGAGCUGUCUAGAGGGGAGACCAAACAGGAAAAAGAGGUGGGGGUAUUCGUGCCCCCAAGAAAAGAAGCCACUGGAUUGGACGCUGGCACCACGGAGAAUGGCCAAGGCAGAAGUCAGAAGGCACGUGGUUGGGGAAUGAGUUUGUUGUGAUGGAGGCAGAGAAAGAGUCCGGGCUAGAAGUUGGGCAUCGGAGAGAGGAGAGAGACUGGAGGUUCCUUCAGGUAGUGGCCAAUGGGAAGGGGGGCAGAGCAGGGCAGGCUGGGGUUCAGGGCAGGGAGGUGGCUAGCUCACCUGGGGCUCAGAGGAGCCAGAGGCAAAGUCUUCUGCGGAGAGGGGGCAGGGCCAGGGUGGGAGGCAGGGGCUUGAGGAGAAAGGAGAAGGCUUGUCAUGGGUGCCCGGCCUCUCUGGAGUGAAGGAAGCAGAUGGGGUGUCUGAGAGCGAGGGAUCAAUCAGCAGGGCUGCUUCUGGGGAGCACCCUUCACCCCUGAAAUAGCAGACAGUAGGAGGCAUCUAAGCUGGGGAAGGAAGGACUCAUGGGAAGACUAGAGAGGUCUGGGAGGACAGAGAAGGAGCAGAGCCCCGAGGUCACCUCGCGGGCAGGUCCUGGACUCAGGCAAUAGUGGGCCUGGUGGAGGGCCAGAAAGAGGGAUGUCUGAAUUGAGGAUCUGAGAGGAGGAGCAGCCCACCCUGGUCCCCAUCCAAGCUCAGCUGCCCUUCUCCUGCUCUGAGUCUAGACAAAUAACCCCCAAGUUACUUCUGUUAGACUCUAGUGCCUAGUCUAGUGCCUCAUCCGUUCCAUCAUCCAGCAUUUAGGGGGGC